This is a non-coding RNA of Phrynosoma platyrhinos (Desert horned lizard), 77 nucleotides long. NCBI's taxonomy places the organism in Eukaryota, Metazoa, Chordata, Lepidosauria, Squamata, Phrynosomatidae. The record is from the annotation of a GenBank genome assembly.
GCCACCGUGGUAUAGUGGUUUAAAUGUUGGACUGUGACUCUGGAGACCAGGGUUCAAAUGCCCACCCAGCCAUGGAA